GCGACUUGUAGCCUAGUGGUUAGAGCGUUGGGCGACUUGUAGCCUAGUGGUUAGAGCGUUGAGCCAGUAACCAGCAGGUAGCCUAGUGGUUAGAGCGUUGGGCGACAGGUAGCCUAGUGGUUAGAGUGUUGGGCGACAGGUAGCCUAGUGGUUAGAGUGUUGGGCGGCAGGUAGCCUAGUGGUUAGAGCGUUGGGCGACAGGUAGCCUAGUGGUUAGAGCGUUGGGCGGCAGGUAGCCUAGUGGUUAGAGCGUUGGGCGACAGGUAGCCUAGUGGUUAGAGCGUUGGGCGACUUGUAGCCUAGUGGUUAGAGCGUUGGGCCAGUAACCGAAAGGUUGCUGGAUUGAGACCCCAAGCUGACAAGGUAAAAAUCUGUCGUUAUGUCCCUGAACAAGGCAGUUAACCCAACGUUCCCCGGUAGGCUGUCAUUGUAAAUGAGAAUUUGUUCUUAACUGACUUGCCUAGUUAAAUAAAGGUUAUAUAUCUCAGCAAAAAAAUAAACUUCCCUUUUUCAGGACCCCGUCUUUCAAAGAUAAUUGGUUAAAAUCCAAAUAACUUCACAGAUCUCCAUCGUAAAGGGUUUAAACACUGUUUGCCAUGCUUGUUCAAUGAACCAUAGACAAUUAAUGAACAUGCACCUGUGGAACGGUCGUUAGCUUCUUAGGGCUGAAAUCCUGCUAACGGGAUCGAUAUGACAACAGCCAGUGAAAGUGCAGGGUGCCA
This is a long non-coding RNA of Oncorhynchus tshawytscha (Chinook salmon), 722 nucleotides long. The record is from Ensembl. NCBI's taxonomy places the organism in Eukaryota, Metazoa, Chordata, Actinopteri, Salmoniformes, Salmonidae.